This 442-nucleotide ribosomal RNA is filed under the name fungal sp. ARIZ L626. RNAcentral's name for it is "eukaryotic LSU rRNA". The stretch from base 140 to 293 matches the Rfam family "5.8S ribosomal RNA". Lineage: Eukaryota; Fungi. The record is from RNAcentral.
ACCUAUAACUGUUGCUUCGGCGGGUAGGGUCUCCGUGACCCUCCCGGCCUCCCGCCCCCGGGCGGGUCGGCGCCCGCCGGAGGAUAACCAAACUCUGAUUUAACGACGUUUCUUCUGAGUGGUACAAGCAAAUAAUCAAAACUUUUAACAACGGAUCUCUUGGUUCUGGCAUCGAUGAAGAACGCAGCGAAAUGCGAUAAGUAAUGUGAAUUGCAGAAUUCAGUGAAUCAUCGAAUCUUUGAACGCACAUUGCGCCCGCCAGCAUUCUGGCGGGCAUGCCUGUUCGAGCGUCAUUUCAACCCUCAAGCUCUGCUUGGUGUUGGGGCCCUACAGCUGAUGUAGGCCCUCAAAGGUAGUGGCGGACCCUCCCGGAGCCUCCUUUGCGUAGUAACUUUACGUCUCGCACUGGGAUCCGGAGGGACUCUUGCCGUAAAACCCCCAA